This 495-nucleotide ribosomal RNA is filed under the name uncultured bacterium. Its description in RNAcentral is "partial 16S ribosomal RNA". It matches the Rfam family "Bacterial small subunit ribosomal RNA", at positions 28 to 507 of the family's 1533-position model. The record is from RNAcentral.
GACGAACGCUGGCGGCGUGCCUAAUACAUGCAAGUAGAACGCUGAAGGAGGAGCUUGCUUCUCUGGAUGAGUUGCGAACGGGUGAGUAACGCGUAGGUAACCUGCCUGGUAGCGGGGGAUAACUAUUGGAAACGAUAGCUAAUACCGCAUAAUAGUAGAUGUUGCAUGACAUUUGCUUAAAAGGUGCAAUUGCAUCACUACCAGAUGGACCUGCGUUGUAUUAGCUAGUUGGUGGGGUAACGGCUCACCAAGGCGACGAUACAUAGCCGACCUGAGAGGGUGAUCGGCCACACUGGGACUGAGACACGGCCCAGACUCCUACGGGAGGCAGCAGUAGUGAAUCUUCGGCAAUGGACGGAAGUCUGACCGAGCAACGCCGCGUGAGUGAAGAAGGUUUUCGGAUCGUAAAGCUCUGUUGUAAGAGAAGAACGAGUGCGAGAGUGGAAAGUUCACACUGUGACGGUAUCUUACCAGAAAGGGACGGCUAACUACGUG